This 406-nucleotide ribosomal RNA is filed under the name uncultured bacterium. RNAcentral's name for it is "partial 16S ribosomal RNA". It matches the Rfam family "Bacterial small subunit ribosomal RNA", at positions 30 to 526 of the family's 1533-position model. The record is from RNAcentral.
AUUGAACGCUGGCGGCAGGCUUAACACAUGCAAGUCGAGCGAUCGGCGGACGGGUGUGUCAUUUCUGGGAACCUGCCUGAUGGAGGGGGAUAACUACUGGAAACGGUACCUAAUACCGCAUACCAUCAGAUGUGCCCAGAUGGGCUUAGCUUGUAGUGGGGGUAAGGGCUCACCUAGGCGACGAUCCCUAGCUGGUCUGAGAGGAUGACCGGCCACACUGGAACUGAGACACGGUCCAGACUCCUACGGGAGGAAGCAGUGGGGAAUAUUGGACAAUGGGCGCAAGCCUGAUGCAGCAAUGCCGCGGGUGUGAAGAAGGCCUUCGGGUGGUAAAGCACUUUGAGCGAGGAGGCGGUACUCGAAGAAGAAGCAACGGCUAACUACGUGCCAGCAGCCGCGGUAAUUC